This 497-nucleotide ribosomal RNA is filed under the name uncultured bacterium. Its description in RNAcentral is "partial 16S ribosomal RNA". It matches the Rfam family "Bacterial small subunit ribosomal RNA", at positions 28 to 507 of the family's 1533-position model. The record is from RNAcentral.
GAUGAACGCUGGCGGCGUGCCUAAUACAUGCAAGUCGAGCGAACAGACCAGGAGCUUGCUCCUCUGACGUUAGCGGCGGACGGGUGAGUAACACAUGGAUAACCUACCUAUAAGACUGGGAUAACUUCGGGAAACCGGAGCUACUACCGGAUAAUAUAUUGAACCGCAUGGUUCCAUAGUUAAAGACGGUUUUGCUGUCACUUAUAGAUGGAUCCGCGCCUCAUUAGCUAGUUGGUAAGGUAACGGCUUAGCAAGGCGACGAUGCGUAGCCGACCUGAGAGGGUGGACGGCCACACUGGAACAGAGAAUGGGCAGAGACUCCGACGGUAGGCAGCAGUAGGGAAUCUUCCGGAAGGGGCGAAAGCCGGAUGGUGGAACGCGGGGGGAGUGAUGAAGGUCUUCGGCUCGGAAAACGCUGUUAGUAGUGAAGAACAAAUGCUUAUGUAACUAUGCACGUAUUGACGGUACCUAAACAGAAAGCCACGGCUAACUACGUG